This 1126-nucleotide ribosomal RNA is filed under the name Klebsiella pneumoniae. Its description in RNAcentral is "bacterial SSU rRNA". It matches the Rfam family "Bacterial small subunit ribosomal RNA", at positions 8 to 1125 of the family's 1533-position model. Lineage: Bacteria; Pseudomonadati; Pseudomonadota; Gammaproteobacteria; Enterobacterales; Enterobacteriaceae. The record is from RNAcentral.
AGAGUUUGAUCAUGGCUCAGAUUGAACGCUGGCGGCAGGCCUAACACAUGCAAGUCGAGCGGUAGCACAGAGAGCUUGCUCUCGGGUGACGAGCGGCGGACGGGUGAGUAAUGUCUGGGAAACUGCCUGAUGGAGGGGGAUAACUACUGGAAACGGUAGCUAAUACCGCAUAAUGUCGCAAGACCAAAGUGGGGGACCUUCGGGCCUCAUGCCAUCAGAUGUGCCCAGAUGGGAUUAGCUAGUAGGUGGGGUAACGGCUCACCUAGGCGACGAUCCCUAGCUGGUCUGAGAGGAUGACCAGCCACACUGGAACUGAGACACGGUCCAGACUCCUACGGGAGGCAGCAGUGGGGAAUAUUGCACAAUGGGCGCAAGCCUGAUGCAGCCAUGCCGCGUGUGUGAAGAAGGCCUUCGGGUUGUAAAGCACUUUCAGCGGGGAGGAAGGCGAUAAGGUUAAUAACCUUGUCGAUUGACGUUACCCGCAGAAGAAGCACCGGCUAACUCCGUGCCAGCAGCCGCGGUAAUACGGAGGGUGCAAGCGUUAAUCGGAAUUACUGGGCGUAAAGCGCACGCAGGCGGUCUGUCAAGUCGGAUGUGAAAUCCCCGGGCUUAACCUGGGAACUGCAUUCGAAACUGGCAGGCUAGAGUCUUGUAGAGGGGGGUAGAAUUCCAGGUGUAGCGGUGAAAUGCGUAGAGAUCUGGAGGAAUACCGGUGGCGAAGGCGGCCCCCUGGACAAAGACUGACGCUCAGGUGCGAAAGCGUGGGGAGCAAACAGGAUUAGAUACCCUGGUAGUCCACGCCGUAAACGAUGUCGAUUUGGAGGUUGUGCCCUUGAGGCGUGGCUUCCGGAGCUAACGCGUUAAAUCGACCGCCUGGGGAGUACGGCCGCAAGGUUAAAACUCAAAUGAAUUGACGGGGGCCCGCACAAGCGGUGGAGCAUGUGGUUUAAUUCGAUGCAACGCGAAGAACCUUACCUGGUCUUGACAUCCACAGAACUUUCCAGAGAUGGAUUGGUGCCUUCGGGAACUGUGAGACAGGUGCUGCAUGGCUGUCGUCAGCUCGUGUUGUGAAAUGUUGGGUUAAGUCCCGCAACGAGCGCAACCCUUAUCCUUUGUUGCCAGCGGU